GCCACCUUAGCUCAGCUGGUAGAGCAGCACUUUCGUAAAGUGAAGGUCCCCGGUUCGACUCCGGGAGGUGGCUCCA
Molecule: transfer RNA, 76 nt
Filed under: Candidatus Doudnabacteria bacterium RIFCSPHIGHO2_01_FULL_43_23
Lineage: Bacteria; Candidatus Doudnaibacteriota
Also listed under: 1 other name
Description: tRNA-Thr
Rfam family: tRNA
About the family: Transfer RNA (tRNA) molecules are approximately 80 nucleotides in length. Their secondary structure includes four short double-helical elements and three loops (D, anti-codon, and T loops).
Source: RNAcentral